GGUUAAGCGACUAAGCGUACACGGUGGAUGCCCUGGCAGUCAGAGGCGAUGAAGGACGUGCUAAUCUGCGAUAAGCGUCGGUAAGGUGAUAUGAACCGUUAUAACCGGCGAUUUCCGAAUGGGGAAACCCAGUGUGUUUCGACACACUAUCAUUAACUGAAUCCAUAGGUUAAUGAGGCGAACCGGGGGAACUGAAACAUCUAAGUACCCCGAGGAAAAGAAAUCAACCGAGAUUCCCCCAGUAGCGGCGAGCGAACGGGGAGCAGCCCAGAGCCUGAAUCAGUGUGUGUGUUAGUGGAAGCGUCUGGAAAGGCGCGCGAUACAGGGUGACAGCCCCGUACACAAAAAUGCACAUGCUGUGAGCUCGAUGAGUAGGGCGGGACACGUGGUAUCCUGUCUGAAUAUGGGGGGACCAUCCUCCAAGGCUAAAUACUCCUGACUGACCGAUAGUGAACCAGUACCGUGAGGGAAAGGCGAAAAGAACCCCGGCGAGGGGAGUGAAAAAGAACCUGAAACCGUGUACGUACAAGCAGUGGGAGCACGCUUAGGCGUGUGACUGCGUACCUUUUGUAUAAUGGGUCAGCGACUUAUAUUCUGUAGCAAGGUUAACCGAAUAGGGGAGCCGAAGGGAAACCGAGUCUUAACUGGGCGUUAAGUUGCAGGGUAUAGACCCGAAACCCGGUGAUCUAGCCAUGGGCAGGUUGAAGGUUGGGUAACACUAACUGGAGGACCGAACCGACUAAUGUUGAAAAAUUAGCGGAUGACUUGUGGCUGGGGGUGAAAGGCCAAUCAAACCGGGAGAUAGCUGGUUCUCCCCGAAAGCUAUUUAGGUAGCGCCUCGUGAAUUCAUCUCCGGGGGUAGAGCACUGUUUCGGCAAGGGGGUCAUCCCGACUUACCAACCCGAUGCAAACUGCGAAUACCGGAGAAUGUUAUCACGGGAGACACACGGCGGGUGCUAACGUCCGUCGUGAAGAGGGAAACAACCCAGACCGCCAGCUAAGGUCCCAAAGUCAUGGUUAAGUGGGAAACGAUGUGGGAAGGCCCAGACAGCCAGGAUGUUGGCUUAGAAGCAGCCAUCAUUUAAAGAAAGCGUAAUAGCUCACUGGUCGAGUCGGCCUGCGCGGAAGAUGUAACGGGGCUAAACCAUGCACCGAAGCUGCGGCAGCGACGCUGAUGCGUUGUUGGGUAGGGGAGCGUUCUGUAAGCCUGCGAAGGUGUGCUGUGAGGCAUGCUGGAGGUAUCAGAAGUGCGAAUGCUGACAUAAGUAACGAUAAAGCGGGUGAAAAGCCCGCUCGCCGGAAGACCAAGGGUUCCUGUCCAACGUUAAUCGGGGCAGGGUGAGUCGACCCCUAAGGCGAGGCCGAAAGGCGUAGUCGAUGGGAAACAGGUUAAUAUUCCUGUACUUGGUGUUACUGCGAAGGGGGGACGGAGAAGGCUAUGUUGGCCGGGCGACGGUUGUCCCGGUUUAAGCGUGUAGGCUGGUUUUCCAGGCAAAUCCGGAAAAUCAAGGCUGAGGCGUGAUGACGAGGCACUACGGUGCUGAAGCAACAAAUGCCCUGCUUCCAGGAAAAGCCUCUAAGCAUCAGGUAACAUCAAAUCGUACCCCAAACCGACACAGGUGGUCAGGUAGAGAAUACCAAGGCGCUUGAGAGAACUCGGGUGAAGGAACUAGGCAAAAUGGUGCCGUAACUUCGGGAGAAGGCACGCUGAUAUGUAGGUGAAGUCCCUCGCGGAUGGAGCUGAAAUCAGUCGAAGAUACCAGCUGGCUGCAACUGUUUAUUAAAAACACAGCACUGUGCAAACACGAAAGUGGACGUAUACGGUGUGACGCCUGCCCGGUGCCGGAAGGUUAAUUGAUGGGGUUAGCGCAAGCGAAGCUCUUGAUCGAAGCCCCGGUAAACGGCGGCCGUAACUAUAACGGUCCUAAGGUAGCGAAAUUCCUUGUCGGGUAAGUUCCGACCUGCACGAAUGGCGUAAUGAUGGCCAGGCUGUCUCCACCCGAGACUCAGUGAAAUUGAACUCGCUGUGAAGAUGCAGUGUACCCGCGGCAAGACGGAAAGACCCCGUGAACCUUUACUAUAGCUUGACACUGAACAUUGAGCCUUGAUGUGUAGGAUAGGUGGGAGGCUUUGAAGUGUGGACGCCAGUCUGCAUGGAGCCGACCUUGAAAUACCACCCUUUAAUGUUUGAUGUUCUAACGUGGACCCGUAAUCCGGGUUGCGGACAGUGUCUGGUGGGUAGUUUGACUGGGGCGGUCUCCUCCUAAAGAGUAACGGAGGAGCACGAAGGUUGGCUAAUCCUGGUCGGACAUCAGGAGGUUAGUGCAAUGGCAUAAGCCAGCUUGACUGCGAGCGUGACGGCGCGAGCAGGUGCGAAAGCAGGUCAUAGUGAUCCGGUGGUUCUGAAUGGAAGGGCCAUCGCUCAACGGAUAAAAGGUACUCCGGGGAUAACAGGCUGAUACCGCCCAAGAGUUCAUAUCGACGGCGGUGUUUGGCACCUCGAUGUCGGCUCAUCACAUCCUGGGGCUGAAGUAGGUCCCAAGGGUAUGGCUGUUCGCCAUUUAAAGUGGUACGCGAGCUGGGUUUAGAACGUCGUGAGACAGUUCGGUCCCUAUCUGCCGUGGGCGCUGGAGAACUGAGGGGGGCUGCUCCUAGUACGAGAGGACCGGAGUGGACGCAUCACUGGUGUUCGGGUUGUCAUGCCAAUGGCACUGCCCGGUAGCUAAAUGCGGAAGAGAUAAGUGCUGAAAGCAUCUAAGCACGAAACUUGCCCCGAGAUGAGUUCUCCCUGACUCCUUGAGAGUCCUGAAGGAACGUUGAAGACGACGACGUUGAUAGGCCGGGUGUGUAAGCGCAGCGAUGCGUUGAGCUAACCGGUACUAAUGAACCGUGAGGCUUAACCUU
RNAcentral lists this ribosomal RNA (2904 nucleotides) under Escherichia coli. Its description in RNAcentral is "23S ribosomal RNA". It matches the Rfam family "Bacterial large subunit ribosomal RNA". Lineage: Bacteria; Pseudomonadati; Pseudomonadota; Gammaproteobacteria; Enterobacterales; Enterobacteriaceae. The record is from RNAcentral.